Molecule: ribosomal RNA, 482 nt
Filed under: uncultured bacterium
Lineage: Bacteria
Description: partial 16S ribosomal RNA
Rfam family: Bacterial small subunit ribosomal RNA
Source: RNAcentral
AUUGAACGCUGGCGGCAUGCCUGACACAUGCAAGUCGAACGGUAACGGCCCUUCGGGUGCCGACGUGUUGCGUACGGGUGAGUAAUACACCCGAACGUGCCCGAUCGUUGGGGAUAAAGAGCCGUAAGCUUUGCUAAUACCGCAUACGAUCUACGGAUGAAAGCAAGGGACCGCAAGGCAUUGCGCGGACCGACCGGCCGAUGCCAGCUUAGGUAGAUGGUGGGAUAAAAGCUUACCAAUCCGACGAUCUGUAGCAGGGCUGAGAGGAUGAUCAGCCACACUGGGACUGAGACACCGCCCACACUCCUACGGGAGGCAGCAGUGGGGGAUCUGGGACAAUGGGCGCAAGCCGAAUACAGGCAUGCCGCGUGUAGGAUGAAGGCGUUGGGGUUGGUAACUGCUUUUGGACGGAGCGAACUGGCUUCUUUGAAUACGGGAGGGUCAUGACGGUACCGGAAGAAUAAGCACCGGCUAACUACGUG